This is a long non-coding RNA of Varanus komodoensis (Komodo dragon), 82 nucleotides long. RefSeq lists it as uncharacterized. The record is from RefSeq and is a predicted model, not a curated record. The transcript is spliced from 3 exons. Lineage: Eukaryota; Metazoa; Chordata; Lepidosauria; Squamata; Varanidae.
GAAUAAGUUCUAUUGGUACCCUACCUACUUUGGGUGCUUUAUUCUUCCAAGUGAUUUCAGAGCAGCUUCACUUUCCAUUGCU